CGGGGUGAGUAAUGUCUGGAAAACUGCCUGAUGGAGGGGGAUAACUACUGGAAACGGUAGCUGAUACCGCAUAACGUCGCAAGACCAAAGAGGGGGACCUUCGGGCCUCUUGCCAUCGGAUGUGCCCAGAUGGGAUUAGCCAGUAGGUGGGGUAACGGCUCACCUAGGCGACGAUCCCUAGCUGGUCUGAGAGGAUGACCAGCCACACUGGAACUGAGACACGGUCCAG
Molecule: ribosomal RNA, 229 nt
Filed under: uncultured bacterium
Lineage: Bacteria
Description: partial 16S ribosomal RNA
Rfam family: Bacterial small subunit ribosomal RNA
Source: RNAcentral